UACAGAGGGUGCGAGCGUUGUCCGGAAUCACUGGGCGUAAAGGGCGCGUAGGUGGUGGCUUAAGCGUGCGGUGAAAGCUCGGGGCUCAACCCCGAGUCGGCCGUGCGAACUGGGCUCACUGGAGCAUAGUAGAGGCAGGUGGAAUUCCGGGUGUAGCGGUGGAAUGCGUAGAGAUCCGGAAGAACACCGAGUGGCAGGAGG
This 201-nucleotide ribosomal RNA is filed under the name uncultured bacterium. RNAcentral's name for it is "partial 16S ribosomal RNA". It matches the Rfam family "Bacterial small subunit ribosomal RNA", at positions 524 to 721 of the family's 1533-position model. The record is from RNAcentral.